AUUGGUUGAUCCUGCCAGUAGUCAUAUGCUCGUCUCAAAGAUUAAGCCAUGCAUGUGUAAGUAUAAGCGAUUGUACUGUGAGACUGCGAACGGCUCAUUAUAUCAGUAAUAGCACUUUCUUCGGUCAGUUUCGUUUUAUAUGGAUACCUGCAGUAAUUCUGGCAGAGGUAAUACAUGCCAGUCGUAUGACGGUCUGGUUAUUAUGGGCUGCACUUAGUUAGACUUGGUGCCUAUUUGUGUUGCACGCUGAGUCAUGUUAAUUGAGCAGAUUGGGGGUAUCGUAUUUAGAAGCUCGAGGUGAAAUUCGUUUGAGUUUCUGCCCCAUCAGUUGACUCGAGCGGUAGUGUAUUGUACCUAGCAUGUUUUUCAUAAUCGGGUGACGGAGAGUCUAGGGCUCGACUCCGAAGAUGAUGGAUGCCAUCGUAGUCUAGACGGCUAAACGAUAUCCGACUUGCGAUUGUUGCAGGUGCGUUUAUUACCUACUGUGGCCUCCACGCAGGUAGUGACAUGAGAAAUCAAAGUCUUUGGGUUGCGGGGGGUGUAUGCGUUUUGCUAGUCUGAAACUUAGAGGAAUGUGACGGAAGGGCCCUCAUCGAGGAGUGGAGCUGGAGGGCUUAAGUCUGGUGACUCAGCAGCCGCGGAUAACUUACCAGGUCCAGAAGCAUAUGGUAAAGUUGAUUGACAGAUUAGAGAGCUCCUUCAGUUGAAUUUCUGGCAUGGGUGAGUGGUGCUUGUCCGUUCUUAGUUGGUGGAUUGAUUGUCUGCGUUGCCUUGGCCAUCUUUUUCUUUUCUUUAUUGAAUGAGACCUCUUUCUACUGUAAUCAGUGCAGUGUGUAUGGCAAGCAUGGUACGUUUUUACUUCUUAGAGGGACAUGUCCGGUUUACGGGCAGGAAGUUCGAGGCAAUAACAGGUCUGUGAUGCCCUUAGAUGUUCUGGGCCGCACGCGCGCUACACUGAUGGGUUCAUCGGGUUUUAAUUCUAUUUUUUGGAAUUGAGUGCUUGGUCGGAAGGCCUGGCUAAUCCUUGGAACGCUCAUCGUGCUGGGGCUAGAUUUUUGCAAUUAUUAAUCUCCAACGAGGAAUUCCUAGUAAACGCAAGUCAUCAGCUUGCAUUGAAUACGUCCCUGCCCUUUGUACACACCGCCCGUCGCACCUACCGAUUGAACGGUCCGAUGAAACCAUGGGAUGUUUCUGUUUGGAUUAAUUUUUGGACAGAGGCAGAACUCGGGUGAAUCUUAUUGUUUAGAGGAAGGUGAAGUCGUAACAAGGUUUCCGUAGGUGAACCUGCGGAAGGAUCAUUAAUCUUGCUAAAACUCGAGCCUCUAGUUUCGUG
RNAcentral lists this ribosomal RNA (1333 nucleotides) under Aurantiochytrium sp. CMFRIMBTDJMVL9. RNAcentral's name for it is "bacterial SSU rRNA". It matches the Rfam family "Eukaryotic small subunit ribosomal RNA". The record is from RNAcentral. Lineage: Eukaryota; Bigyra; Thraustochytrida; Thraustochytriidae.